RNAcentral lists this ribosomal RNA (502 nucleotides) under uncultured bacterium. RNAcentral's name for it is "bacterial SSU rRNA". It matches the Rfam family "Bacterial small subunit ribosomal RNA", at positions 38 to 507 of the family's 1533-position model. The record is from RNAcentral.
GGCGGCGUGCCUAAUACAUGCAAGUCGAGCGCAGGAAACAAGUAGAUCCCUUCGGGGUGACGCUUGUGGAAUGAGCGGCGGACGGGUGAGUAACACGUGGCAACCUACCUUGUAGACUGGGAUAACUCCGGGAAACCGGAGCUAAUACGGGAUGAUCAUUUGAAUCGCAUGAUUGAAAUGUAAAAGUGGGGAGUAAUCCUCACACUAUGAGAUGGGCCCGCGGCGCAUUAGCUAGUUGGUAAGGUAAUGGCUUACCAAGGCAACGAUGCGUAGCCGACCUGAGAGGGUGAUCGGCCACACUGGAACUGAGACACGGUCCAGACUCCUACGGGAGGCAGCAGUAGGGAAUCAUCCGCAAUGGGCGAAAGCCUGACGGUGCAACGCCGCGUGAACGAUGAAGGUUUUCGGAUCGUAAAGUUCUGUUAUGAGGGAAGAGCAAGUGCCGUUCGAAUAGGGCGGCACCUUGACGGUACCUCACGAGAAAGCCCCGGCUAACUACGUG